AACCUCCUACGGGGGGCAGCAGUGGGGGAUAUUGCACAAUGGGGGGAACCCUGAUGCAGCGACGCCGCGUGGGCGAUGGAGUGCUUCGGCAUGUAAAGCCCUAUCAGCAGGGAAGAAAAUGACGGUACCUGAAGAAGAAGCCCCGGCUAACUACGUGCCAGCAGCCGCGGUAAUACGUAGGGGGCAAGCGUUAUCCGGAUUUACUGGGUGUAAAGGGGGCGCAGACGGCGAUGCAAGCCAGGAGUGAAAGCCCGGGGCCCAACCCCGGGACUGCUCUUGGAACUGCGUGGCUGGAGGGCAGGAGG
This 305-nucleotide ribosomal RNA is filed under the name uncultured bacterium. Its description in RNAcentral is "partial 16S ribosomal RNA". It matches the Rfam family "Bacterial small subunit ribosomal RNA", at positions 333 to 655 of the family's 1533-position model. The record is from RNAcentral.